RNAcentral lists this ribosomal RNA (253 nucleotides) under uncultured bacterium. RNAcentral's name for it is "partial 16S ribosomal RNA". It matches the Rfam family "Bacterial small subunit ribosomal RNA", at positions 524 to 776 of the family's 1533-position model. The record is from RNAcentral.
UACAGAGGGGGCGAGCGUUGUUCGGAAUUACUGGGCGUAAAGGGCGCGUAGGCGGCCAACUAAGUCAGACGUGAAAUCCCUCGGCUCAACCGGGGAACUGCGUCUGAUACUGGAUGGCUUGAAUUCGGGAGAGGGAUGCGGAAUUCCAGGUGUAGCGGUGAAAUGCGUAGAUAUCAAGUGGAACACCAGUGGCGAAGGCGAGUCCCUGGACAAUUCCUGACACUGAGGCACGAAAGCUAGGGGAGCAAACAGG